RNAcentral lists this unclassified non-coding RNA (333 nucleotides) under soil metagenome. RNAcentral describes it as "partial contains 5.8S ribosomal RNA, internal transcribed spacer 2, and large subunit ribosomal RNA". The stretch from base 1 to 120 matches the Rfam family "5.8S ribosomal RNA", at positions 35 to 154 of the family's 154-position model. The record is from RNAcentral.
GAUGAAGAACGUAGCGAAAUGCGAUAAGUAAUGUGAAUUGCAGAAUUCAGUGAAUCAUCGAAUCUUUGAACGCACAUUGCGCCCGCUAGUAUUCUGGCGGGCAUGCCUGUUCGAGCGUCAUUUCAACCAUCAAGCCCUGCUUGUGUUGGGGUCCUGCGGCUGCCCGCAGGCCCUGAAAACCAGUGGCGGGCUCGCUAGUCACACCGAGCGCAGUAGCACAUCUCGCUCAGGGCGUGCGGCGGGUUCUUGCCGUAAAACACCCCUUUUUACCAAGGUUGACCUCGGAUCAGGUAGGAAUACCCGCUGAACUUAAGCAUAUCAAUAAGCGGAGGA